CCCUACGGGGGGCAGCAGUGAGGAAUAUUGGUCAAUGGGCGCGAGCCUGAACCAGCCAAGUCGCGUGAGGGAAGACGGUCCUAUGGAUUGUAAACCUCUUUUGUCGGGGAGCAAAAGACGCCACGCGUGGCGUUCCGAGAGUACCCGAAGAAAAAGCAUCGGCUAACUCCGUGCCAGCAGCCGCGGUAAUACGGAGGAUGCGAGCGUUAUCCGGAUUUAUUGGGUUUAAAGGGUGCGUAGGCGGUCCGGAAAGUCAGCGGUAAAAGCCCGGGGCUCAACCCCGGCGAGCCGUUGAAACUGUCGGA
RNAcentral lists this ribosomal RNA (305 nucleotides) under uncultured bacterium. Its description in RNAcentral is "bacterial SSU rRNA". It matches the Rfam family "Bacterial small subunit ribosomal RNA", at positions 337 to 640 of the family's 1533-position model. The record is from RNAcentral.